Molecule: RNA transcript, 1625 nt
Organism: Acipenser ruthenus (sterlet)
Lineage: Eukaryota; Metazoa; Chordata; Actinopteri; Acipenseriformes; Acipenseridae
Gene name: zona pellucida sperm-binding protein 3-like
Exons: 4
Source: RefSeq, a predicted model, not a curated record
UGUUGAACGGAAGAGUUUACAAUGGGGACGCGCAGUGUUCAGACAGCGCUUUCGCUCGCUUUGAUUUUACUUGUGCAGCUCCACGGCGGUUUCGGAUGGAGCUGGUCGGAUCAGCCGGUUUAUAACCCAGUGCUGAUUACCCGAGAGCGGUAUUUCAGGCGAAGCCCACCCCACUCGCCGUGCAGAGAGCUGACCUGUCGCUGUUGGAUUUGGUCACCCUGGACUGCAGGAAAGACGCCAUGGUCGUGACUGUGAACCGGGACUUGUUUGGGAUCGGUUACCUGGUGAACCACGCCGACUUGAGCGUGGGGUCCACGGGUUGCUCGGCCACCUCCUCCGACAGCGUCGCCAACACGGUUUUGUUCAGCAUCCAGCUCCAGGACUGCGGCUGCACUUUCCAGGUAUUCCCAGACUUCCUGAGCUACACAAACCAUCUCUAUUACAAGCCUGCCAGCGUUGGCAUCAUCACCAGGGUUAAUAUGGCUGCUAUUCUCCUCGAAUGCCGAUACCCGAGAAGGUGGCAUGUCAGCAGCAGCCCCAUAAAACCAACCUGGGUGCCCUUCACUUCAACAGCCUCUACAGAGCAAAUCCUGGACUUCUCCUUGCUGCAACAUUAAGACCAGUUUCCCAUGUAUUGGAUGCUGAAGUUUAAUCUUCAAAUGGUCUUUAACCUCCCCUCCCAUAAUUUUAUAAUUGAGGGAUGCUGUGUGACUUCCAACCCUAUAGGGCUCGACCGAUAUUUUCAGCUUUUAUCAUAACUGGAGUAGUCCCAGAGUCUCCAAUGCCAUCUACCUGGGUGACGUCCUUCACAUCGAGGCUUCUGUUGCCGUCGACAACCACGUGCCGCUGCGGCUGUACUUCGACAGCUGCAUCGCGACCCUGAGCGACAACAAGGACUCUGAGCCCAGAUACGCAGUCGUGGACAAGCUUGGGUGAGAACUGGAGUUACUUCAAACACACUGGCUCAUGCCAGAGUGUGUUGACCAAUCCCAAUGUUUCUGUACAUGAGUGAGUAGAUAGUGAUGCUCUUGGAGUUGCUACUCCUGAGUCUUCAAUGGGUGUGGCUUCCCUCCCGCACUGUCCUGUUAACCCCUCUAUCUCUGUCUCGGACUCGGGCUCCUCUGUGCCUGUGCUGGCAGUCUCAGCUGUGGCUCUGGCUCUCUCCUGUGCUGUCCUGUUGGCUGUGUUCCUGAAGAGGCGCUCCCAGUCUAGUGACAAACUGCUCUCUGUGUCUUCAUGAUGUGUUUGAAUAAUUAAAGCCUUGUCAAAGCUAAUGGAGUUGCUCGGUGGGUUGUGUGAUUUGUUUCCCUUUUUAAUAGGGGGUGUUUCAUAAUAUCGAUGCUUGAAGAUACAAGUCCUUUUACCCAAACUGCACAAAGUGACAUCUCUUCUAUAAUACAUGCAAUGUAUCUAUAAUUGUGGAACUAUACUCUCAAUGCCAGAUCUUUUUGAUUCCUAGAAUCUGUAACUGAAUAUUCAACUGACAUAUUAAAUUGAACAGUGACUGCAUCAAAGUGUUUUAACUUGUACACUAAACUCCUUAUUUGCAUUUCCUGAGACUCUUUUUUUUUUCUCUUCAAUGGUUACUGUAUUACCCUGCUUACUCAAACAGUACUCUGUGUUAA